Molecule: ribosomal RNA, 160 nt
Filed under: uncultured bacterium
Lineage: Bacteria
Description: partial 16S ribosomal RNA
Rfam family: Bacterial small subunit ribosomal RNA
Source: RNAcentral
UGGGGAAUAUUGGACAAUGGGCGCAAGCCUGAUCCAGCAAUGCCGCGUGUGUGAAGAAGGCCUGCGGGUUGUAAAGCACUUUAAGCAGGAAAGAAGGCUUCAGGGUUAAUACCCUUGGGGAUUGACGUUACCUGCAGAAUAAGCACCGGCUAACUCCGUG